This 465-nucleotide ribosomal RNA is filed under the name Vreelandella stevensii. RNAcentral's name for it is "partial 16S ribosomal RNA". It matches the Rfam family "Bacterial small subunit ribosomal RNA", at positions 338 to 795 of the family's 1533-position model. The record is from RNAcentral. Lineage: Bacteria; Pseudomonadati; Pseudomonadota; Gammaproteobacteria; Oceanospirillales; Halomonadaceae.
CCUACGGGUGGCAGCAGUGGGGAAUAUUGGACAAUGGGCGAAAGCCUGAUCCAGCCAUGCCGCGUGUGUGAAGAAGGCGUUCGGGUUGUAAAGCACUUUCAGUUGGGAAGAAAGCCUUGGGGCUAAUACCCUCGAGGAAGGACAUCACCCACAGAAGAAGCACCGGCUAACUCCGUGCCAGCAGCCGCGGUAAUACGGAGGGUGCGAGCGUUAAUCGGAAUUACUGGGCGUAAAGCGCGCGUAGGCGGUCUGAUAAGCCGGUUGUGAAAGCCCCGGGCUCAACCUGGGAACGGCAUCCGGAACUGUCAGGCUAGAGUGCAGGAGAGGAAGGUAGAAUUCCCGGUGUAGCGGUGAAAUGCGUAGAGAUCGGGAGGAAUACCAGUGGCGAAGGCGGCCUUCUGGACUGACACUGACGCUGAGGUGCGAAAGCGUGGGUAGCAAACAGGAUUAGAUACCCGUGUAGUC